AACGAACGCUGGCGGCAGGCCUAACACAUGCAAGUCGAACGCCUGUAGCAAUACAGGAGUGGCAGACGGGUGAGUAACACGUGGGAACGUGCCCAAAGGUACGGAACAACUCCGGGAAACUGGAGCUAAUGCCGUAUGUGCCCGAAAGGGGAAAGAUUUAUCGCCUUUGGAUCGGCCCGCGUACCAUUAGCUAGUUGGUAGGGUAAUGGCCUACCAAGGCGACGAUGGUUAGCGGGUCUGAGAGGAUGAUCCGCCACACUGGAACUGGAACACGGACCAGACUCCUACGGGAGGCAG
Molecule: ribosomal RNA, 297 nt
Filed under: uncultured Pseudomonadota bacterium
Lineage: Bacteria; Pseudomonadati; Pseudomonadota
Description: uncultured proteobacterium partial 16S ribosomal RNA
Rfam family: Bacterial small subunit ribosomal RNA
Source: RNAcentral